This 460-nucleotide ribosomal RNA is filed under the name uncultured bacterium. RNAcentral's name for it is "partial 16S ribosomal RNA". It matches the Rfam family "Bacterial small subunit ribosomal RNA", at positions 338 to 795 of the family's 1533-position model. The record is from RNAcentral.
CCUACGGGUGGCAGCAGCGAGGAAUAUUGGUCAAUGGACGAGAGUCUGAACCAGCCAAGUAGCGUGAAGGAUGACUGCCCUAUGGGUUGUAAACUUCUUUUAUAUGGGAAUAAAACGUUCCACGUGUGGGAUUUUGUAUGUACCAUAUGAAUAAGGAUCGGCUAACUCCGUGCCAGCAGCCGCGGUAAUACGGAGGAUCCGAGCGUUAUCCGGAUUUAUUGGGUUUAAAGGGAGCGUAGGUGGAUUGUUAAGUCAGUUGUGAAAGUUUGCGGCUCAACCGUAAAAUUGCAGUUGAAACUGGCAGUCUUGAGUACAGUAGAGGUGGGCGGAAUUCGUGGUGUAGCGGUGAAAUGCUUAGAUAUCACGAAGAACUCCGAUUGCGAAGGCAGUUCACUGGACUGCAACUGACACUGAGGCUCGAAAGUGUGGGUAUCAAACAGGAUUAGAUACCCUAGUAGUC